GGCUGAUGAUGGAAAGGUUUUACUCCUGAUCUUCAUAACUAGGAAGGUUUCUAUACUUGGCCUGAGCUCA
Molecule: small nucleolar RNA, 70 nt
Organism: Lemur catta (Ring-tailed lemur)
Lineage: Eukaryota; Metazoa; Chordata; Mammalia; Primates; Lemuridae
Product: small nucleolar RNA U2-30
Exons: 1
Source: RefSeq, a predicted model, not a curated record